Molecule: non-coding RNA, 1889 nt
Organism: Macaca mulatta (Rhesus monkey)
Lineage: Eukaryota; Metazoa; Chordata; Mammalia; Primates; Cercopithecidae
Source: RefSeq, a predicted model, not a curated record
ACUGGAUGACUUCUAACAUUCUGCGAUGCCUAAUUUUGCAAAAUCACUUUUCAUUCACCCAGUAAAUUUUUUUCUUCUUUUUUCCAGGCAGUCUUGCUCUGUCUCUCAGGCAGGAAAUCACUUAAACCCAGGAGGUGGAGGUUGCAGUGAGCCAAGAGUCUGGUGCACUCCAGUCUGGGUGACAAGAGUGAAACUCCAUCUCAAAAAUAAAUAUAUAUCAACUACCAACUAAAAACAUAACUUCAGUUUGGCAGUUUGCAUAUUAUAAGGAGAUAAAUGUUUAAACAUACUUGACUACUUUCAGAAAUGUUCUCCUGGUACUUUUUGUGAGUAUUUCUACAUUCAGAUCAAAAGAUUUGCAUGUACCUGGCUAACGCCAAGGAAACUAUUUUCUUCACUAUUAUGCACUUUCAUGGUAGUAUAGUCUUUCUCAGUUCUUUUACUUUUUGUUAUUUAACAUCUUUAAUAUAAUAGCACAGCAAACAUCUUUUCAGAAAUUUUCAGUUAAAGCCUUUGAAUUAUUUAUCUUUGGUUUAAUUUACAGCCAGCAUUUUGCCACAUUCUAAAUAAUAUUUAGCUGAACUGCUUCAUGCGUAUUAAUGACCAUUCUAGCAAAGGCCUACAAGUGGUGUGGGAAUCAGGGAAAGGCUGCCUCUUUGGUAUUUCAACUGGUAUUGAUUAUUGCUAUCAACUAUUUGGGGAGAAAAAAUCAAAAUGAAGCCCUGUCAAAUUUUAUAAGUACUAUCUUUGGUCCUUCAAACACUUGAACAUUUGUGAUGACACCUUAAGAAAAAUGAAGUUCAGGUCUUACCAUUGCCAUUAAAAACAAAUUAGGAGACGUGGUUUACCUGGGAACAAAUUUACUUGAAUAUUCAGUACCUGAAACCAUGCCAAACCAAAGAGCAGCUGCAGUACAUUAGUUAUUUUAAAUGAACAAGUUUACAAAGUUUAUUUUCAUCUAUACAUAAGGAUGAUUUUUUAAAAAACUUUUUACAUAUUAGUGGUUAUGAUCCAAUGUGUCAUGAGUGAAUUUAACUGUAAGGUGGUUUAAAUCAAAUAUGCAAUGUUUACUUGAAUUGUAUUUCUAUUAGCAGAUUUUGACUAUGUUUACAGGACUGUUUAAAUUAAGGAUUAUCAGGCAUGUGAGAUCGCCUUUCAGUUAUCUUUAAAACAGAUGUAUAUUAAGGGCUUAGAGUUAGGCUCUACAUAUUCUGGGCAGUGAAUAGGCAGUAACUUACAAAUAAGUUUUGCUUACCUUUUGUUUUAGGGACUAGCACUGCUAUCAAUGGAAAGUAUUUUUAACUAAUCUGUUAUUAAGAAAGUCAUAUUUUUGCAUUUCAGCCAAAAUAAAGACCAUCUCUGAUAAUCUGUUAGAAACAGAUAAUACAUGUCUGAAAUCCAUAUGUUUCAUAUGAUCUAAACUGUAUUUUCCAAUUUAAAUUAAAAUGUAAUAUAGAUUCAGAAAGGUUCAUAUUUUUCUAAUGACUUCAUUCUAUAUUAUUUUGUUAGGUUGCAUAAAGAAGCAAGGAAUUGCACUUGUAUUAAAAGAUGAAGAAAGCUAUUAGGUAUAUUUGUACAUGACUGCAAAUGAGUCUAUGCCUGUUUAAAAGAAAAGAUGGACACUAUUUUAAAGUGAGCUUUAAUAUGCUUUUAUAUAAACAAAUUUGAAGUACAGUUUAGUUUGGUUGUGUUUACCUAACAAGUACUAUAAGCCGUGUAUUUGUUCUUAUUUGUAUAAUCCUAGCCUGUGACUUAAUGUUGACGCUUUGCUUUGUCUUUUGGCUGGCCUAACCUACAUUGACAUGUACGCAGAACAUUUUACAACUUUUUUUUUCCAAAAGUCAUAAUGAAUUACUUUAUUAAUAAACAAAUAAAGUCUUGUAUUUGAA